GAUCCUGGCUCAGGAUGAACGCUAGCGGCAGGCUUAACACAUGCAAGUCGAGGGGCAGCACGUCUUCGGAUGGUGGCGACCGGCGCACGGGUGCGUAACGCGUAUAGAACCUACCUUUUACAGGGGAAUAGCCCAGAGAAAUUUGGAUUAAUGCCCCAUAGUAUUAUUGAAUGGCAUCAUUUAAUAAUUAAACAUUUAUGGGUAAAAGAUGGCUAUGCGUUCUAUUAGCUAGUAGGUAAGGUAACGGCUUACCUAGGCAACGAUAGAUAGGGGUCCUGAGAGGGAGAUCCCCCACACUGGUACUGAGACACGGACCAGACUCCUACGGGAGGCAGCAGUGAGGAAUAUUGGACAAUGGGCGAGAGCCUGAUCCAGCCAUGCCGCGUGCAGGAAGACGGUCCUAUGGAUUGUAAACUGCUUUUAUACAGGAAGAAACACUCGGACGUGUCCGAGCUUGACGGUACUGUAUGAAUAAGCACCGGCUAACUCCGUG
This 493-nucleotide ribosomal RNA is filed under the name uncultured bacterium. RNAcentral describes it as "bacterial SSU rRNA". It matches the Rfam family "Bacterial small subunit ribosomal RNA", at positions 15 to 507 of the family's 1533-position model. The record is from RNAcentral.